AUUAGGUAGUUGGUGAGAUAACAGCCCACCAAGCCUACGAUGGGUAGCCGAGCUGAGAGGCUGAUCGGCCACAUUGGGACUGAAACACGGCCCAGACUCCUACGGGAGGCAGCAGUGGGGAAUAUUGGGCAAUGGAGGCAACUCUGACCCAGCAAUGCCGCGUGAGUGAUGAAGGUAAUUUUAUUGUAAAGCUCUUUUCUUUGGAACGAAUAAAUGACGGUACCAAAGGAAUAAGCCCCGGCUAACUACGUGCCAGCAGCCGCGGUAAUACGUAGGGGGCAAGCGUUGUUCGGAAUGACUGGGCGUAAAGGGUGUGUAGGUGGUUUGAUAAGUUAGAUGUGUAAUCCCAGGGCUUAACUCGGGUGCUGCAUCUAAAACUGUUAGACUUGAGUACUGGAGAGGAGAGUGGAAUUCCUAGUGUAGCGGUGGAAUGCGUAGAUAUUAGGAGGAACAUCAGUGGCGAAGGCGACUAUCUGGACAGCAACUGACACUGAGGCACGAAAGCGUGGGGAGCAAACAGGAUUAGAUACCCUGGUAGUCCACGCUGUAAACGAUG
RNAcentral lists this ribosomal RNA (556 nucleotides) under uncultured bacterium. Its description in RNAcentral is "bacterial SSU rRNA". It matches the Rfam family "Bacterial small subunit ribosomal RNA", at positions 240 to 811 of the family's 1533-position model. The record is from RNAcentral.